RNAcentral lists this ribosomal RNA (111 nucleotides) under Phascolarctos cinereus (koala). Lineage: Eukaryota; Metazoa; Chordata; Mammalia; Diprotodontia; Phascolarctidae. The record is from RNAcentral.
UAUUAGGCCAUACUGCCCAAUUGAACAUAUUAUCUCAUCUGAAGCUAAGCAGGGUCAGACUUGGUUAGUACGAGGAUGGGAGACCCCCAGGAAUACCGGGCACUGUAAUCU